This 1026-nucleotide long non-coding RNA is filed under the name Manihot esculenta (cassava). Its description in RNAcentral is "long non-coding RNA (MESC_LNC005719)". The record is from RNAcentral. Lineage: Eukaryota; Viridiplantae; Streptophyta; Magnoliopsida; Malpighiales; Euphorbiaceae.
UUUUGUUUUUAUGGCAGAUUGAUCAUCUGGGUCUUUGAUAAACCAUAUUUUGUUUGGUUAUUGGCUUCAAUUUUGGGUUCAGGUGGAUUAGUGGCGAUUCGUUGUUUUUUUGUUAUGUCCUGUGGUUUUUGAAGGAAAUUAUCUAUUUUAGCUGUAUUCUCUGAUUUUCUGAUUUGAUUUUAGAUUUUGUGUAAUCUUCUCAUGGUUUUUGAAAAUGGGUUAUUGUAUAAAGGUUUUCAAUUUUGAUAUCUUGCUUUCAAUUCUAUAGAUACACUCAUUUUCUGGUGUUUGUUCUUCAAUUUGAGACUAUGCCUUCUAUUACUUUGCAAUGGCCUUUCGAGAUGAAAAUUAGGAUUUGUUUAAGAACAAAACUUUUCCAUCCCGCAGUCAUUUAACUGGAUAUGCUCUGAAGUUUUUCAUGGUUAAUUGCUUCCAAUAGAAGCGAGACUGAUGAACACUUUUUCUUUGUCAUGCAGGUCCUUGGUUUUUCCUUUCAGAUUUCAUGCUAUAACAUUUAAUCUAAAUACUGAAUUUACUGAUGGGGUCUGAAGGGCCUCCUGCUGUAACAAUCCAUGUGACAGGAUUUAAGAAAUUCCAUGGAGUUUCAGAGAAUCCAACUGAAACUAUUGUCAGUAAUCUCAAUGAGUACAUGAAGAAGAAGGGUUUGCCAAAAGGUGUCAUACUGGGGAGCUGUAGCGUUCUAGAAACUGCAGGACACGGAGCAAUUGUGCCCUUGUACCAGACAUUUCAAAAUGCCCUUAAAACAAACAACUCUGAAUCAUCAAAUUCUGGGAGAGUUAUUUGGGUUAGUUGCCCCCAUGUUUCCUUAGCCAUCUAUCAAUCGGCCGCAUGUUUCGUGAUGAUUCUAUUUGAAUUUUUUGGGUUUUGCUUGAUUACUGUUUUCUCUACUUUUUUCUUCAGCUACACUUUGGGGUUAAUAGUGGAGCAACAAAAUUUGCCAUUGAGAAUCAAGCUGUCAAUGAAGCUACUUUUCGGUGUCCUGAUGAGAUGGGAUGGAAACCACAG